GCCUGGCUGGCUCAGCACGUGGAGCAUGGGACUCCUGAUUUCAGGUCGUGAGUUCAAGCCCCAUGCAGGGUG
This 72-nucleotide transfer RNA is filed under the name Canis lupus familiaris (dog). It matches the Rfam family "tRNA". Rfam says of the family: Transfer RNA (tRNA) molecules are approximately 80 nucleotides in length. Their secondary structure includes four short double-helical elements and three loops (D, anti-codon, and T loops). Further hydrogen bonds mediate the characteristic L-shaped molecular structure. tRNAs have two regions of fundamental functional importance: the anti-codon, which is responsible for specific mRNA codon recognition, and the 3' end, to which the tRNAs corresponding amino acid is attached (by aminoacyl-tRNA synthetases). tRNAs cope with the degeneracy of the genetic code in two manners: having more than one tRNA (with a specific anti-codon) for a particular amino acid; and 'wobble' base-pairing, i.e. permitting non-standard base-pairing at the 3rd anti-codon position. Lineage: Eukaryota; Metazoa; Chordata; Mammalia; Carnivora; Canidae. The record is from Rfam by way of RNAcentral.